GCCACUUCAGCAAAAUUUUAACUUGCUCUAGGCCAUGGAUCACUGGAUCCCUUGAGACUUGCCAAAGUUACAAAUACUACAUUCAACAAUGUCAAGGUUCUUGGGUAAUCUGCACUGUAAUACUAAAAUUGUUAAAUCAGUCACAGAUAAAUGUUUUAAUCUGUAUAAAUGAAGGUAUAAUCAAGUCUUAGGAUUUAUGACAGAAUAAAAUGAAGAAAUUUUUUAGAGAUGCACAUAAUGAAGACAGUUUUAGGGCCUGAGAUCUUCAAAGAAGGACAGCAUGGAAAUCGAAGAACAUCUUGGGAAUGUGACUAUUUCCAAUCACACAGUCUGUCAUCCUGGACAUUCAACCAGCUCAGAACAUGUAGCCCUCUUGCAGGGCGGGAUCACUGAUGGACAAUUGGAGAGAAAGAAAAGCAGAGGUCUUGGAUUCCUGGGCUCGAAGAAUCCUCUUGUCUCAACUUUCUGAAUAGCUGGCACUACAGGUAAAUACCAACACUUCUGGCUACAAAGUAACUCUUUAUAGGACAUCAAUGGACUCAUUAAAGUUUCCUUAAAGACAUAUUAAAAAUUUUAAAACUUUAUCAGCCAGAAGCCCUUUAGCGACAAGUGACAGGAACCUAAAUCCAAAUAGCUUCAGCCAGAGAAAACAAUACCAAAAGAAAAACUGAUUCACUUCUCUAUCAAGGAAGUCUAAAGGUCAUGUUUUCAUUAGUUGAAAAUAAGAAAUAACAAUGUUUUAAGGCUAUUGUAUCAUACCAUAGUUUGGUUCUGCUUCUGAUUGUGUAGCUACCUUCAUUAUUUUAUUUGUGUGUGUGUGUGUGUGUGUGUGUGUGUGGUUACAAAGAUAUUUGUCAAAUCCUCAGAGUUACUGCUCUAUUCCUUUCUUCUCCCUCUUCUCUGCCAUGCCUCCAUGCUAUUCUGUCCUGUGUUGGAGACAUUUGGAUAUGGACUGAAAUAUCUACAAACUGUGAGCCAAAAGAAAUGUUUGGUAUUUUGAUCCAGCAAUGAGGAAAGUAAAAAAGACAUCAUCUCAUUUAGAAUGCCCCAGAGAAGACAUCAUCAGAAUGUGCAGUACGACAUGGAUAAAUAGUCUAUGGAGUCUCUUGAGCACCAAUUUAAAGAAGAUUUACCGACUUUUGUUGGCAAGAAAACUUCGAAUCUCAAGAUCAUUUGAUAUAAUUCAGUCUUGACCAUAGACUUCAGUCAACCAAAGAAUAAUUGCUAAAGCCCUCCAAAGGUAGCAGCAGAAGAAAAUAUAUUGAAUCCAGGGUCUUUGAGAAGAUAAUCCUAUUGACAAAAUCAGACAUUCAAUACACAGAAUUACUAAAGUGAGACCAAAACACUGAAUGCAGUAUUAUCCAGAGUUUACAAUACACUUGACAACUGGGUUGCUAGAACUGUGUUGCUGUCAUUGCUGCUAUUGGAACAUCUGCCUGGAUGUCUGGAGCCUACAGUCCAACUGAAGUUCUGGGAUUGCUGCUGAUGCUGCCUGACCUGCAGUCCUCUGCAACUGACCCAUCAUCUAGUAUGAUAUUAAAUCUUUCAUCCACCUUACAGACUUUCACUAUUUCUGCUCUUCACUUUCUUCUCACUGUGCCCCCCCUUUUUUUAACAUGACCAUAGAAUCCUUGGGUCUUCUUUCUUAUUUUCCCAAUAAUUUCAUUACUUAUGCUUUAAUUAGAAAAAAGGAAAAACUAUCAUGCUUUUCAUUAGAAUUACUUAUUAUUUUAUUUCAAAAUAUACAUUUAAAGAAGUUAGUCAAAAUUUACUGGAGGAAAUGGUGUCUUAAACUAAAAGUGUAAAUAAGGAUCAAAAUGUAUAAUUGAUAUUGUGAAAUAGCAAGAAAAGGUCUAAAAGGAGUAGGGG
Long non-coding RNA from Heterocephalus glaber (naked mole-rat), 1869 nucleotides. Lineage: Eukaryota; Metazoa; Chordata; Mammalia; Rodentia; Bathyergidae. The record is from Ensembl.